GUUGGGCGCUAGGUGUGGGACUCAUUCCACGAGUUCCGUGCCGCAGCUAACGCAUUAAGCGCCCCGCCUGGGGAGUACGGCCGCAAGGCUAAAACUCAAAGGAAUUGACGGGGGCCCGCACAAGCGGCGGAGCAUGCGGAUUAAUUCGAUGCAACGCGAAGAACCUUACCAAGGCUUGACAUAUACCGGAAACUUCCAGAGAUGGUUGCCCCUUUGGGUCGGUAUACAGGUGGUGCAUGGCUGUCGUCAG
Molecule: ribosomal RNA, 250 nt
Filed under: uncultured bacterium
Lineage: Bacteria
Description: partial 16S ribosomal RNA
Rfam family: Bacterial small subunit ribosomal RNA
Source: RNAcentral